AUUUUUCAUUUGCAUCAGCAUGGCAUUCCGAUGGCGUUACCUUUGCCACUGGGAACCAGGACAAAACAUGCAGGAUUUGGGAUGUAAGAAAUUUAUCAAAGUCAGUAGCUGCUCUGAAAGGCAACCUUGGAGCCAUUCGGUCCAUCCGCUAUUCCUCUGAUGGUCGGUACAUGGCAAUGGCAGAACCAGCAGACUUCGUGCACGUGUUUGACGUGAAAAGUGGGUAUGAGAAAGAACAAGAAAUUGACUUUUUUGGAGAAAUCUCUGGUGUAUCCUUUAGUCCGGACACCGAAUCGCUUUUCAUUGGAGUAUGGGAUCGAACAUAUGGUAGCCUUCUCGAGUACCACAGACGCCGAAAUUAUAGUUACCUAGAUUCGUUGUACUAAGUUUGGAAGUAUAAAGAAAACAAACUUGGGAAUAAGAUGGGUGGUGAAAAUGAAAAUUGUUUAAUUAACAUAGUAACAUGUAGUGGAUAUGUUCUUGUAAUUUGUAAGUGUAUAUUUAGUGUGUUGUGAAAACUAUAGCCUUAUGUAUUAUGAUUUGAUGACACUUUGGUUUUGAAGACACAAUUUGAUUGUAUGCUGAAGGGAGUGUAAAGAAAGGCUUGUGGGGGGAUG
Molecule: unclassified non-coding RNA, 617 nt
Filed under: Hevea brasiliensis (rubber tree)
Lineage: Eukaryota; Viridiplantae; Streptophyta; Magnoliopsida; Malpighiales; Euphorbiaceae
Source: RNAcentral